GGGGGAAAAAAUGGUGGACUGCGUUGUUUGGCGACCCCCGUGAAAUGGUCGUUAGACCCCAAAUGGGGUCCCAACCCACAGGUGGAGAACCACUGAUCUACAUUCUUCCCUCUGCAGGCAGAGAGACAGCUUUGGGACUUGGGGACCAUUGUUCCCUGUCAGCCCAGGAAAGUGGCAGUGGCAAAUCACCAAGAAAACGGCAUAGAAGUAACUCCGUAGAGGUGCAUCUGGUUGUUAAGGCAGGACAGUGGGCGGUGAGUUCCAAUCGUGCAAUACGCACGACGGGCAGCUGUGUAGCUUUGGGCCAACAACUGAGAUAUGGCAACUUCUAUUCUUGAAAUCCACACAACAGCCGGCUGAGUGACUUUGGUCCGACAACCAGGAGAUGACAGAGAAUUGGACCCGAUGGAAUGGAUGAAAAAAAGAACAACGGAUGAGGAAGACCCUCCUGGCUAAGACCACCGUGAAGCUAGGCCGAGGCCCCCUCCGCCCCCCACGCAGACUGAGGUCGCUGUCAGAUCCGCCACCUUCGGCUUGGUGCCUCGCUGCCUUUCUGCAUCAACCGGAGAAAGGGAGGGGGCAACACAGGGGCAAUACAGCUGUAUACCUUUGUGAUGGGAAAUUGGGAGGGGGGGGUGACGGCUGAGGAAGCACCAAGCGGUUUGGAAUCCGGUCCGUGCCGGCAUCUUCAAUGCCACGUACCCUGGGAAUGGAAUUUCACCAGCCCAAACACCUCAGCGCUUUCCAAGACAUCUCGGCGGUGCCGGAUUGGCUGCCCACGGGUGGGCCUUGGGGGCAGGGAACAGGGGAUUCGUUCUGUAUUGAUGCGCGGGAAACUCCAGAUUCCACCCGACUCUCCUGCAACCAGCCUCUCUUGGUAAAAGCGCCUUUUCACUUCAACCCGGUGGAGUCGAGGGUUUCUCCCUCCUCGGAGAUCAGACUGGAGCAGGUCUGACAGUCCCCCGUUGCGUGAUCCGAAGUCAGCGACCGAAGUGGGACCCUGGCCGUUUCACUGGGCGGUUGCUGAAGGAGCCACAACCACUUGAUGCUCUGCCGGGUCAACCAACAACUCAUGAAUCCAAACCGGAGCAUUGUGGGCGUGCUGGCUGGGAAUUCUGGGAGUUGAAGUCCCCACAUCUCAAAGUUUCCAAGUUGGAGAGGCACCGAUUUAGAGGCUUCCCCUCUCCAGAUGGCUGCGGGUAGCUGACUUUGCCCAAGAGAAUCAUCAAAAUAAAAAAGAAAGAAGCGGACCGUAAGCAUCCAGGAGACCCACUGAACAUAGGGCAACCCGUGAGGGCAUCUCCACCACCCUGCCCCGACGCCUGGCACCGCACCCAGCUUUGCCGGCACACAGAAGAACUCUACCUGGACUCGUCUCAAUUCGACUCUUAAUUUAUUCCUAAUAAAUCAUGAGACC
This is a long non-coding RNA of Crotalus tigris (Tiger rattlesnake), 1417 nucleotides long. RefSeq lists it as uncharacterized. NCBI's taxonomy places the organism in Eukaryota, Metazoa, Chordata, Lepidosauria, Squamata, Viperidae. The transcript has 3 exons. The record is from RefSeq and is a predicted model, not a curated record.